AAUGGGUCAGCGACUUAUAUUCUGUAGCAAGGUUAACCGAAUAGGGGAGCCGAAGGGAAACCGAGUCUUAACUGGGCGUUAAGUUGCAGGGUAUAGACCCGAAACCCGGUGAUCUAGCCAUGGGCAGGUUGAAGGUUGGGUAACACUAACUGGAGGACCGAACCGACUAAUGUUGAAAAAUUAGCGGAUGACUUGUGGCUGGGGGUGAAAGGCCAAUCAAACCGGGAGAUAGCUGGUUCUCCCCGAAAGCUAUUUAGGUAGCGCCUCGUGAAUUCAUCUCCGGGGGUAGAGCACUGUUUCGGCAAGGGGGUCAUCCCGACUUACCAACCCGAUGCAAACUGCGAAUACCGGAGAAUGUUAUCACGGGAGACACACGGCGGGUGCUAACGUCCGUCGUGAAGAGGGAAACAACCCAGACCGCCAGCUAAGGUCCCAAAGUCAUGGUUAAGUGGGAAACGAUGUGGGAAGGCCCAGACAGCCAGGAUGUUGGCUUAGAAGCAGCCAUCAUUUAAAGAAAGCGUAAUAGCUCACUGGUCGAGUCGGCCUGCGCGGAAGAUGUAACGGGGCUAAACCAUGCACCGAAGCUGCGGCAGCGACACUAUGUGUUGUUGGGUAGGGGAGCGUUCUGUAAGCCUGUGAAGGUGUACUGUGAGGUAUGCUGGAGGUAUCAGAAGUGCGAAUGCUGACAUAAGUAACGAUAAAGCGGGUGAAAAGCCCGCUCGCCGGAAGACCAAGGGUUCCUGUCCAACGUUAAUCGGGGCAGGGUGAGUCGACCCCUAAGGCGAGGCCGAAAGGCGUAGUCGAUGGGAAACAGGUUAAUAUUCCUGUACUUGGUGUUACUGCGAAGGGGGGACGGAGAAGGCUAUGUUGGCCGGGCGACGGUUGUCCCGGUUUAAGCGUGUAGGCUGGUUUUCCAGGCAAAUCCGGAAAAUCAAGGCUGAGGCGUGAUGACGAGGCACUACGGUGCUGAAGCAACAAAUGCCCUGCUUCCAGGAAAAGCCUCUAAGCAUCAGGUAACAUCAAAUCGUACCCCAAACCGACACAGGUGGUCAGGUAGAGAAUACCAAGGCGCUUGAGAGAACUCGGGUGAAGGAACUAGGCAAAAUGGUGCCGUAACUUCGGGAGAAGGCACGCUGAUAUGUAGGUGAAGCGACUUGCUCGUGGAGCUGAAAUCAGUCGAAGAUACCAGCUGGCUGCAACUGUUUAUUAAAAACACAGCACUGUGCAAACACGAAAGUGGACGUAUACGGUGUGACGCCUGCCCGGUGCCGGAAGGUUAAUUGAUGGGGUCAGCGCAAGCGAAGCUCUUGAUCGAAGCCCCGGUAAACGGCGGCCGUAACUAUAACGGUCCUAAGGUAGCGAAAUUCCUUGUCGGGUAAGUUCCGACCUGCACGAAUGGCGUAAUGAUGGCCAGGCUGUCUCCACCCGAGACUCAGUGAAAUUGAACUCGCUGUGAAGAUGCAGUGUACCCGCGGCAAGACGGAAAGACCCCGUGAACCUUUACUAUAGCUUGACACUGAACAUUGAGCCUUGAUGUGUAGGAUAGGUGGGAGGCUUUGAAGUGUGGACGCCAGUCUGCAUGGAGCCGACCUUGAAAUACCACCCUUUAAUGUUUGAUGUUCUAACGUUGACCCGUGAUCCGGGUUGCGGACAGUGUCUGGUGGGUAGUUUGACUGGGGCGGUCUCCUCCUAAAGAGUAACGGAGGAGCACGAAGGUUGGCUAAUCCUGGUCGGACAUCAGGAGGUUAGUGCAAUGGCAUAAGCCAGCUUGACUGCGAGCGUGACGGCGCGAGCAGGUGCGAAAGCAGGUCAUAGUGAUCCGGUGGUUCUGAAUGGAAGGGCCAUCGCUCAACGGAUAAAAGGUACUCCGGGGAUAACAGGCUGAUACCGCCCAAGAGUUCAUAUCGACGGCGGUGUUUGGCACCUCGAUGUCGGCUCAUCACAUCCUGGGGCUGAAGUAGGUCCCAAGGGUAUGGCUGUUCGCCAUUUAAAGUGGUACGCGAGCUGGGUUUAGAACGUCGUGAGACAGUUCGGUCCCUAUCUGCCGUGGGCGCUGGAGAACUGAGGGGGGCUGCUCCUAGUACGAGAGGACCGGAGUGGACGCAUCACUGGUGUUCGGGUUGUCAUGCCAAUGGCACUGCCCGGUAGCUAAAUGCGGAAGAGAUAAGUGCUGAAAGCAUCUAAGCACGAAACUUGCCCCGAGAUGAGUUCUCCCUGACUCCUUGAGAGUCCUGAAGGAACGUUGAAGACGACGACGUUGAUAGGCCGGGUGUGUAAGCGCAGCGAUGCGUUGAGCUAACCGGUACUAAUGAACCGUGAGGCUUAACCUUACAAC
RNAcentral lists this ribosomal RNA (2335 nucleotides) under Escherichia coli. RNAcentral's name for it is "partial 23S ribosomal RNA". It matches the Rfam family "Bacterial large subunit ribosomal RNA", at positions 614 to 2925 of the family's 2925-position model. The record is from RNAcentral. Lineage: Bacteria; Pseudomonadati; Pseudomonadota; Gammaproteobacteria; Enterobacterales; Enterobacteriaceae.